This 250-nucleotide ribosomal RNA is filed under the name uncultured bacterium. RNAcentral describes it as "partial 16S ribosomal RNA". It matches the Rfam family "Bacterial small subunit ribosomal RNA", at positions 355 to 615 of the family's 1533-position model. The record is from RNAcentral.
UCGAGAAUCUUCGGCAAUGGGCGCAAGCCUGACCGAGCGACGCUACGUGCGGGAUGAAGGCCCUUGGGUUGUAAACCGCUGUCAGAGGGGAUGAAAGCGCAAGCUUGACAGAGCCUCAGAGGAAGCGCGGGCUAAGUUCGUGCCAGCAGCCGCGGUAAUACGAACUGCGCAAACGUUAUUCGGAAUCACUGGGCUUACAGGGUGCGUAGGCGGCCGAACAGGUCCGGUGUGAAAUCCCUCAGCUCAACUG